This 240-nucleotide ribosomal RNA is filed under the name uncultured soil bacterium. Its description in RNAcentral is "partial 16S ribosomal RNA". It matches the Rfam family "Bacterial small subunit ribosomal RNA", at positions 26 to 268 of the family's 1533-position model. The record is from RNAcentral.
AGAUUGAACGCUGGCGGAAUGCUUUACACAUGCAAGUCGAACGGCAGCACGGGGGCAACCCUGGUGGCGAGUGGCGAACGGGUGAGUAAUACAUCGGAACGUGCCCAUGUCGUGGGGGAUAACGUAGCGAAGCUACGCUAAUACCGCAUACGAUCUACGGAUGAAAGCGGGGGAUCGCAAGACCUCGCGCGAUUGGAGCGGCCGAUGGCAGAUUAGGUAGUUGGUCGGGGUAAAGGCGUC